GACGAACGCUGGCGGCGUGCUUAACACAUGCAAGUCGAACGGUGAAGUAGAGCUUGCUCUAUGGAUCAGUGGCGAACGGGUGAGUAACACGUGGGCAACCUGCCCCAGACUCUGGGAUAACUCCUCGAAAGAGGGGCUAAUACCGGAUAUUUGCAUUGCAAGACAUCUUGUGAUGCAGAAAGAAUUUCGGUCUGGGAUGGGCCCGCGGCCUAUCAGCUUGUUGGUGAGGUAACGGCUCACCAAGGCGACGACGGGUAGACGGCCUGCGAGGGCGACCGGCCACACUGGGACUGAGACACGGCCCAGACUCCUACGGGAGGCAGCAGUGGGGAAUAUUGGGCAAUGGGCGCAAGCCUGACCCAGCAACGCCGCGUGAGGGAUGAAGGUCCUCGUAUUGUAAACCUCUUUCAGCAGGGACGAAGCGAAAGUGACGGUACCUGCAGAAGAAGCACCGGCUAACUACGUGCCAGCCGCCGCGGCAA
This 482-nucleotide ribosomal RNA is filed under the name uncultured bacterium. RNAcentral's name for it is "partial 16S ribosomal RNA". It matches the Rfam family "Bacterial small subunit ribosomal RNA", at positions 28 to 523 of the family's 1533-position model. The record is from RNAcentral.